RNAcentral lists this small RNA (62 nucleotides) under Salmonella enterica subsp. enterica serovar Senftenberg. Its description in RNAcentral is "partial RtT sRNA". It matches the Rfam family "RtT RNA", at positions 1 to 61 of the family's 130-position model. From Rfam's summary of the family: This family represents a bacterial cis-regulatory element known as RtT RNA. The exact function of RtT is unknown although it is thought that it may be involved in changing the cellular response in relation to amino acid starvation. The record is from RNAcentral. Lineage: Bacteria; Pseudomonadati; Pseudomonadota; Gammaproteobacteria; Enterobacterales; Enterobacteriaceae. RNAcentral also lists the same sequence under 3 other names.
UAUCUCUCCGUACGGGGAAGGAUGAGAAGCUUCGACUAAGGUUCGAUUCGAGCGAAAGCGAG